Molecule: ribosomal RNA, 599 nt
Filed under: uncultured bacterium
Lineage: Bacteria
Description: bacterial SSU rRNA
Rfam family: Bacterial small subunit ribosomal RNA
Source: RNAcentral
GAGUUUGAUUAUGGCUCAGGAUGAACGCUGGCGGUAUGCUUUACACAUGCAAGUCGUACGAGAGUUUUUAACUCAAGUGGCGGACGGGUGAGUAACACGUAAGAAUUUGCCUUUAGGAGGGGGAUAACAACUGGAAACGGUUGCUAAUACCCCAUAUGCUUUCGAGUGAAACGGUUUUUCCGCCUAAAGAGAAGCUUGCGGCUGAUUAGCUUGUUGGUGAGGUAAUGGCUCACCAAGGCGACGAUCAGUAUCUGGUUUGAGAGGACGAUCAGACACACUGGAACUGAGACACGGUCCAGACUCCUACGGGAGGCAGCAGUGGGGAAUUUUCCGCAAUGGGCGAAAGCCUGACGGAGCAAUACCGCGUGAGGGAUGACGGCCUAUGGGUUGUAAACCUCUUUUUUCAGGGAGGAAUAAAUGACGUGUACCUGAGGAAUAAGCAUCGGCUAACUCCGUGCCAGCAGCCGCGGUAAGACGGAGGAUGCAAGUGUUAUCCGGAAUCACUGGGCGUAAAGCGUCUGUAGGUGGUCCAAUAAGUCAACUGUUAAAUCUUGAGGCUCAACCUCAAAAUCGCAGUCGAAACUAUUAGACUAGAGUAU